RNAcentral lists this ribosomal RNA (426 nucleotides) under uncultured bacterium. Its description in RNAcentral is "partial 16S ribosomal RNA". It matches the Rfam family "Bacterial small subunit ribosomal RNA", at positions 354 to 796 of the family's 1533-position model. The record is from RNAcentral.
GUGGGGAAUCUUGCGCAAUGGGCGAAAGCCUGACGCAGCAACGCCGCGUGGGGGAUGAAGGCUCUCGGGUUGUAAACCCCUUUCAGCAGGGACGAAUCAAGACGGUACCUGCAGAAGAAGCCCCGGCUAACUACGUGCCAGCAGCCGCGGUAACACGUAGGGGGCAAGCGUUGUCCGGAUUUAUUGGGCGUAAAGAGCUCGUAGGUGGCUGAGUAAGUCGGAUGUCAAAUCCCCAGGCUCAACCUGGGAUCCCAUCCGAUACUGCUCUGACUAGAGUCCGGUAGGGGAGCGUGGAAUUCCUGGUGUAGCGGUGAAAUGCGCAGAUAUCAGGAGGAACACCAGCGGCGAAGGCGGCGCUCUGGGCCGGUACUGACACUGAGGAGCGAAAGCGUGGGUAGCAAACAGGAUUAGAAACCCUAGUAGUCC